This is a long non-coding RNA of Lineus longissimus, 3677 nucleotides long. RefSeq lists it as uncharacterized. The record is from RefSeq and is a predicted model, not a curated record. NCBI's taxonomy places the organism in Eukaryota, Metazoa, Nemertea, Pilidiophora, Heteronemertea, Lineidae. The transcript has 2 exons.
UUCUGCAACGCGCACAGCGAGCGUUAACUAUCGGACUUUGACUGUAGGUCACGAGCAUAUCCUGUGGUUAACAAAGAUAACGUUUGGACUGAACAAAAAGAAAGUAAGUUCCCACUUUCAUAAUGUUUCAACAUCGUUGGGUAAGCUCUAAUUAAGUGUUGACUACAUAUUGGAUACAUCGACUCGAGGUGAGGAGGUAACUAGAUAAGCCUUUUAGAGUAAAAGGCGGGCGUGGAUUUAUAAUUUAGCUGUAAUAGUUGCAACAUAAUUGCAACGGCCGACAGGAAUUCCGUAGACGCUUAUCAUUUCCAACUACCCUUAUAAUGUUUUUUUACUCGAUGGCUAUGUUGUAUUUGAUUGUGUGAGUCAUCUGCUUGUCUUCUUAUGUUCUUAGAAGCAUGCCUUGGCCGAGUUGACAUUCAGGAUGUAUGACACUUAUCAAUAACAAACCAGAUGAAAAGAAUUCAGUCAUUUUAAACAUAAUAAGUUUCUGGAUGUCGUUGAUUGUCACGGACGGAUGUCAACAGUGGAAUAUAUUUCUUAAGCAAAGAUUGUGAUUAGAUUGCUGGGCCGGUGGUGUGAUUCGGGAGAGUGGAGACGGAUAUCGGCAAACUAAUACUUAUUCAAAUCCUGUCGACACUGUUUAAUACUUGCUAAUUGAUACUGGUGAUUACACAUGCAUAUAUCUGUCGGGCGUUUGUAAUAUAUGCCCAACUCCGGCUUCAACGAGUUAAAUCGCUUGAGAAUGCUGUGGUGAUUACACAGCGGCAGAGAUAACUAAAGAUCCACUAUUUUUAUAGACCAUGGGUAUGGAGCGACUGCACUUCCUCCUGAUCAUAACCAUAGGAAUAUUUACCUCACUCGAUUGUGGAGAAUGUCUCAACAAAGUCAGAUUCUGUCGGAUAAUGUGUGCUCGAGGACAAGGCGGGGAUGCUUGUCGAUGUAAUGCCGUCCAUUUUGCGGGGAAAAGGACUUCAGAGACGAGCGUUCAUCCGCCUCGGAGAUUAUCCAAUUUAUUGAGUGUAAACAACGACAGAUCUAGACAGAGGGAGUUAGCAUACUUAGUACAUGUAAUCGCAAACCUUCACGAUGAUGACAAACUUUUGGAUUCUGCUGAAACUACUCGGAGUACGAAAUCGGGAACAAGGACUCAUGGAAGCCGCAAUCACAUAAACACGAAAAAGGAAGAUCAAUUAACGGAUCUGGAGAAAAUAAAAAAAAUAGAAAGAUUCAUCACUGAGCUUGAGCAAACGGAGGAAGGAGCGAAUUCCUGAUUGUCGAUACCAAUCCUGGUUACAGCUAAUUCAGGAUUGAUCAAACGUAAAAGACGGCCGCCACUCGACCACCUGGCCCACUGUUAGCUACCGGCAUAUCAUUCAGAGGAAAAGGGAAGUCGACAUAUAUUGCUCUGAAGUAUUUUGAGCGAGACUCUUUAUCUAUCGCUAACGUUGCUGUCUGCCAAUUUCUUUCAAGGCGGGCUGCGACAUAUUUACAACAGAAUCGUCGUUGACAUGCUUGAUAGCAGUUGACGGUUUGGACUUAUAUUAGGGAAUUUUCGCAAGUCCCCGAAACACCAACGCGAACACCCAUCUCACUGUUUGGCCUCCUGAUAACGAAGUCGAACAAUAGGAUAGGCGUUCACAUGGACGUUUCGGGGGCUUUGCGAAAACUUCCAAUAGUAUUGGACAAACCCGUAUGAAAUGUUAAUGACAUGUCUUAACAUUGAAAUGAAAUCUUCAUGUAGAAACUCCGCUUUUGGUCCCUCCGGGUAAGCGCUAUAAAUAAUGCACACGAAACACAAUGAAAACCACCUUUUUUUAUAACGCAUCGAUUCUGGCCGAUUCGACCGACUUUUCCGUCGGUUAACUUUGGCAUUAUUGAUGAUGGCGAUUAACGAUGGCGCUUACCUACAGGGCAUGAUGAACUGGUUGCGGGAUAUUGAAACUGUGCAUGUUCUACUUGAAAAUAUUGGAUAUUUGUUCGGAUGGACAAAUGGCCAUAUUGACACAUCAAGAAGCCUUUCGUCAAUGACAUCAUAGUUUGCCAAAUUUGCAAUGGUCUUAUCUCGUUAGCUAAAUGACAUGUCAUGGCCGGGAAAGAAAGAAAUUGUUCAAUAAGAAGUUGGAAAGACUGUGUUGUUGGAUUAUUUAUGUGUUAUUCUGGAAAUACGAUUCUUCAAGCAUUAAAUAUAGAAAAGAAACCCGCUGGUUUGUCCUACCGAUAGCGAGCAAGUUUGUUGAUAUGCAUGGGUUGUUUUUGUGCGUGCACCGUAGAGUAACCCGCUGGUUAACUUACUCCAUAAUUUAAUGCAAAUGAUGUCAUACUGUCCAUGUUACCAGAUGAGCUCACAGUUUAUUUUAGAUAAUUUACGAAUUAGCGCACAUUCUUGCAGACUUGUCAGGUGAAGCAGCGAUUGUAGCACUAUCUAGGGCAGGCUGCUCAGUGGAAGGCCGGAUAAUCUUGAAAACUGCACUUUAUAUGAACUUUAAUUAUUCAUGCUUCUCUUCUCAGUUAAAGAAAGUUAUAAAAAAACUAGGAAAAAUGACUGGUGACAAAAACAAAUUAUAUACAUGUACUAUUGAUUUUGAAUUACUCCCAUAAUAUAUCAACCAUAAUACUACCGAACUUGAGCCACAUGGAAUUAAUACUUUUUUGCUUAUGUUUCUAGUUUGUUUGAUCUCAUCUCCUGUGUUGGUUUAAGGAAUUGAUACCGAACUGGAGGUGUUGGUCGUCUCACCAAAACCGUACAGGUAGAGCUUAAAUGCAGACUAAAACCGAGGCGGAUAUACGAGGUUUGGGGAGUUUUUUUUUGCUCCGACAGAGUGGAUUAGGUGAGACAAUCAAUACCGACAGUGGGGUAUCAACUUAUAUUCGAAAACAUCUAAAAUUACACAACAAAUAAUGUGAUUUUGAAGGAUUUUUGACUGCGCCCGUAUUACUCACCAGUCAAUACGGUUUUGGUUGUCUGACACCCGCUAACUUAAAAAUGAGGCUCCGUUGGCGAAUAGCGCAUUUACACUGUAAUCUGCGGCUCAUUAUACAUCAAUAUGUUUUUAAAAUGUUGGGUUACAUGCGUUUAUUAACAUUUUCGACACUUCACCAGCCGAUCGAGUUUGUUUGGUCGCUGACAAAGUCUCAGGCGAUUGUAUUAAUCAACCAAUGAUUCAUUUUAUGUCCUUAGGGUGGUAAACGAUGUUACUUUUGCUUCCUUUGUGCGAUAUACACCAAUACCUCCGUGAUGCACAACCCACAGAACAAUGUGGCCGCAGUGUUUGAGUGGUGCCAUAACGAAUCCAACUGGCUCUUGCAAUACAGUGUGGGAAAAUGUAAAUGUCAAUAAUAUUGUGCAACAACCCAGCUCAAUAACUAAUGCAGGUAUCAAACAAACUAAACACAGAAAGUGUUGGAAUCAUCAUUAUGUGGCCGAAGUUUGGUAAAUCAAUGAUUGAUACUGUGGAGUUCAAAAGAUAUAAAAGAUAUGAGCGGGAUUUUUUUCACCUGGUAUGAUAUGUUGAUAAUGAAAAGGAAACAGAGUGAUAUAUAGUUCACCACAAGUUCUCUGUAUGAUACAGAUAUGACGGUCAUCAGUAUUAAAAGCGUCUUUAUGUGCGCAGUGGAUAUGUAGGGCGAUUCAUGAUCAUCAAGCAUUGUACUAAUAAUGAUUGCUGAUGCAUUUA